Molecule: unclassified non-coding RNA, 275 nt
Filed under: Hevea brasiliensis (rubber tree)
Lineage: Eukaryota; Viridiplantae; Streptophyta; Magnoliopsida; Malpighiales; Euphorbiaceae
Source: RNAcentral
GGGUGUGUUUGUUCAUCCAUGUGUGCGGUUCGGAGCAAAGCUCCUGGCUGUUGGUGCCGUGGUGGUGUUGCUCUACUUUUGGGUAGACAGGUUGGCUUCUCUCAUUGAGGAGCGUUCGCGUGAGUCUUUGGGUUAGGUCGAUCUUUCUGCUCGAUCGUAGUCCAGCUCCUUCACACUCCUUCGAGUUUUGUUCUUGUGGAAAUGGGAUUAGAAGGGAUUCUACUAGCCCUGGUAUCAGGAAGGUGGUGUCCCCACAACAAAACUCGAAGGAGUGU